Molecule: long non-coding RNA, 630 nt
Organism: Centrocercus urophasianus (Greater sage-grouse)
Lineage: Eukaryota; Metazoa; Chordata; Aves; Galliformes; Phasianidae
Exons: 3
Source: RefSeq, a predicted model, not a curated record
AAGAUCUGCAAGCGGGAGAGCGAGCAUCUGUGUGAAAACAAACCUGUUUUAUGCAGUCCUCCAAGUCACCAGAGCUGCUGGAAUCCAACAAAGGUUUUCUACAUACGGUGGUGAACCAGCAGGUUUAUUUAUACUAAAGAAGUUUCUCAUCCAUUAUUGAUGCCUAAAUCAGCUCUGGUCUUUCCCUGGCCUGCAACUCCUCUAAUGUGAGCGUGUGUAUGAAGCAUCUUUGAGUUCAGCAUGGAUGGUUUGCUUACCAUCAAUUAUGCAUGUGGAAGAAGCCCUACAAAGGAAAGAGAAUCAAGCCAGCAAGAAAGUGCUUCCCAUUUUCUAAGUCCCACUGUGCUUUUUAAGCUCCUGUUCUGCUCUCCCAUGGAAGAAUCUCCUAUUCUGCAGUCCAGUCCUCCUGGACCAAUAGGUCAACCAGCCUGGUGAGCUCCACAAGGCCAUUGACACAGAGCAGCUGUUGGCUGCUUUCUUCUCCUGGUAUUACAGGGGAUUGAACUGAACUGUGGCUGCUUUGCAGGAGCAUAGCUGAAAGGACAUCUAUACAGCAAUAAAAACAGAGCCGCCGCAGCCAUUACAUCAAGGAGUAUCAGAUCCUUUGAUGGAAACAUGAGUGUCUCUAAA